UAACAUGUAUGAUGGUAACGUCUUCGCUCA
This 30-nucleotide non-coding RNA is filed under the name Mus musculus (house mouse). Lineage: Eukaryota; Metazoa; Chordata; Mammalia; Rodentia; Muridae. The record is from RNAcentral.